GUGUCCCUCRCAUGCUUUUGACGGGUAACGGGGAAUUAGGGUUCGACUCCGGAGAGGGAGCCUGAGAAAUGGCUACCACAUCCAAGGAAGGCAGCAGGCGCGCAAAUUACCCAAUCCCGACACGGGGAGGUAGUGACAAGAAAUACUGAUACAGGACUCUUUUGGGUCUUGUAAUUAGAAUGAGAACAAUUUAAAACCAUUAACGAGGAACAAUUGGAGGGCAAGUCUGGUGCCAGCAGCCGCGGUAAUUCCAGCUCCAAUAGCGUAUAUUAAAGUUGUUGCAGUUAAAAAGCUCGUAGUUGAACCUUGACCUUGAUGGGCUGGUCCGCCUCACCGCGUGAACUGGUUUGUUGAGGUCUUCCUCUUGGAGUACCGCAUGCCCUUUACUGGGUGUGCUGGAGAUCCAGGACUUUUACUUUGAAAAAAUUAAAGUGUUCAAAGCAGGCAAUUGCUCGGAUACAUUAGCAUGGAAUAAUAGAAUAGGACGUGUGGUUCUAUUUUGUUGGUUUCUAGGACCGCCGUAAUGAUUAAUAGGGAUAGU
RNAcentral lists this ribosomal RNA (541 nucleotides) under Pyxidiophora sp. RNAcentral describes it as "SSU rRNA". Lineage: Eukaryota; Fungi; Ascomycota; Laboulbeniomycetes; Pyxidiophorales; Pyxidiophoraceae. The record is from RNAcentral.